UUCCCAAAUCUUUGAUGUUUCUUUUGUAUCGCUAAUUUCAUUUUAUUACAACACAACUCUUACAUUUUUUUCUUAGACUUGGCAGUAGACCCAACAUUUUCAGAAACUUUCUUAGGCAUUCUAGGAGUUUUCUGCACAACAACAACUUCUUCAACAAUUUUACCAAUAUCCUCAUUCAUUUCUUCACUAACUUACUCAAUUUCCUCAAUGACUAUAUCAUUGUUCUUGAUAUUUACACUAACAUUGUCUUGGUCAUCUCACUAGCAAAU
RNAcentral lists this long non-coding RNA (269 nucleotides) under Lathyrus oleraceus (garden pea). RNAcentral's name for it is "Pisum sativum (pea) long non-coding RNA (PSAT_LNC008063)". Lineage: Eukaryota; Viridiplantae; Streptophyta; Magnoliopsida; Fabales; Fabaceae. The record is from RNAcentral.